Molecule: ribosomal RNA, 489 nt
Filed under: uncultured bacterium
Lineage: Bacteria
Description: partial 16S ribosomal RNA
Rfam family: Bacterial small subunit ribosomal RNA
Source: RNAcentral
GACGAACGUUGGCGGAGUGAUUAAUACAUGCAAGUCAACUGAAGCAGUGGUAGCACUCUCUCUGUUGCUGUGGCGCACGGGUGAGGAACACGUAGGUAAUCUGCCUUCAGGUUCGGCAGAACUCAGGGCAACCGGCGCUAAUAGCAGCUGAUGCAGCGGCCCGACAUCGAGACAGUUGUUAAAGCGAUGGCGCCUGAAGAUGAGCCUGCGUCUGGUUAGCUAGUUGGGGGGGUAACGGCCGACCUAGGCGACGAUCACUAGCUGGUCUGAGAGGAUGAUCAGCCACACUGGAACUGAGACAAGGUACAGACUCCUACGGGAGGCAGCAGUGGGGAAUAUUGCACAAUGGGCGCAAGGCUGAUGCAGCCAUGCCGCGUGUAUGAAGAAGGACUUCGGGUUGUAAAGUACUUUCAGCGGGGAGGAAGGGAGUAAAGUUAAUACCUGUGCUCAUUGACGUUACCCGCAGAAGAAGCACCGGCUAGCUCCGUG